This 253-nucleotide ribosomal RNA is filed under the name uncultured bacterium. RNAcentral's name for it is "partial 16S ribosomal RNA". It matches the Rfam family "Bacterial small subunit ribosomal RNA", at positions 524 to 776 of the family's 1533-position model. The record is from RNAcentral.
UACGUAGGGUGCGAGCGUUAAUCGGAAUUACUGGGCGUAAAGGGCGCGUAGGCGGCCUACUAAGUCGGACGUGAAAUCCCCGGGCUCAACCCGGGAACUGCGUCCGAUACUGGAAGGCUUGAAUCCGGGAGAGGGAUGCGGAAUUCCAGGUGUAGCGGUGAAAUUCGUAGAUAUUCGGAAGAACACCAGUGGCGAAGGCGACUUACUGGAUCAUGACUGACGCUGAGGCUCGAAAGCGUGGGGAGCAAACAGG